CAGAAUGAAUUAAUUCCCAGGGAGCUUCACAAAUCCUUCAUGGAAAGCAAUCUCUGGAGAUCUCAUUUCAACAUUUCAAUGAACAUAACUAGCCUGGUCUGAAUCUCAGCAAUAGAUAUUUCCUAUAUUGAGGCUGAGGUUUCCAUUGCACUAACAGCUGAGAAAAAUUUCUCCCCUACAUAUUCUGUGUAGUGUGUGUGUGUGUGUAUGUGUGUGUGUGUGUGUGUGUGUGUGUGUUUCUUUUAAGUGUAGGGAUUAUUUUACAUUUCUUACAUUGUGAUAAUAUCUAUUCUUGCUUUUCAGCCUAAUUAAAUGCAGCCUCAUGUGCAGAAGGCAAAUAAGUCAGCUGUAAGAAAAGAUGAAAUGAGAAGUUAGCCCAAGAGCACACAAAGGCAUCAGCAAGUGUGAAUAUACUUCCCAGAAUGGCUCCCAUAAAAGUCAAGAAAUGGUCCUCCAGUCUAGAUCUAGAAGCCACCUGUCGACUUCCAGGGCAUCACUUUAACCCAACUGACCACAGAAGAUCCCACCCAGCCUCUGUGUGGUAAACAGCUCUGACCCGGUGAACAGAAAUGAAACCGGAUGAGAGAGGCCUGAGGAUAGGUGGGUCCUGAAAAGCCAAAUGGAAUCUGAGCCUAAUGAAUCAGCAUCUCAUUGGAUGGCACCAAGGAAUCUGAAUUUUCAACAAACUUCCCAAUAGAUUCUUAUGCACACUGAAGAACCAAUGACCCAGAGCACAGCCACACAGCAUCUAGGUAUGCUUCCUUAUCUCUCUCGGCAUUGAUGCUAAUCAGUCUGCAUUGCUCCCAUCUGGCCCUUGGGGCCUGGCUCAGCUUCACUGAGCACAGAGCUUUCUUGAACUCCCAAAUUCUUUUUAGAAUACCUGUGGUGUUCCUGCCGGAGAGAGAUUACUCAGUAAACCAUCUUGGUUAAUG
Hyaena hyaena (striped hyena) is the source of this 932-nucleotide long non-coding RNA. RefSeq lists it as uncharacterized. The record is from RefSeq and is a predicted model, not a curated record. NCBI's taxonomy places the organism in Eukaryota, Metazoa, Chordata, Mammalia, Carnivora, Hyaenidae. The transcript has 3 exons.